CAUUUAGUUAUCGAAUCGUGAAAUUAAUCCACUUUGGUAGGCGCCAUGUUUGGGGAACCUAAAGUUAUACAUUCUUCCUUUGUAGAACUAGAAAAUUUUGAAAUCAUGCACAAAUUUUGGUUCUUGUUUGAGUUACUUCUUGUCUGUCUUCCGGUUCGCAUAGCUACGAUCUACCCUUUUAGUGAUUAAUUGAUUACAUGAUGCAAACCCUUAGGACAUGAUAUCUGUAAUUAUAUUAUAGAUUGUGAAUCUUUAUCUGAAAUAUUACCAUGGUAUGGUAAAUCGAACAAUUUGUUGGAAUUGUAGUGAGUUCACAAACAUUUUCUCUUAUACACAGCAUAAUAUCACAAAAAUGAUUGAAAGGAAGCAAAUGCUUAGAACCCAAAAUUUUUAUGUCUUAUAAGAGCUAUCUCUGCCUUUGGGCGUCUAGAGAGAUUGUCAGGGUUGAAAGUUUCUAAUGACUUUUAUAUUUAGUGUUUUGUGCCACUAAUUUGUCAGAAUUAAAUGAGAUUUGUUGAUGGUGAGAUUAGACGCCAGCAUUAUUUUAAGCAAACUGCAUCUUAUACUAUGCAACCAUGAAAAUUAUCGCUGCAUCAAACUUGUUUUCCUUGUAGUUCAUUAAUGUUCUUUUUUAAACUAUUCCUGCUAUAGAUCAGCAAUAUGAUCUAGUCAGUUUCUAAGUGAUUUUUCUAAGUUUUACAUUGAUUCUGUUGAACUCGUAUGUUAUUGAUUCCUAUUUCAUCUGUUCAAUUUCUUCUAAUUUACUGAUGGCCAUUUCUUAUCUCAUUAAGAAGUUUCAAAAUGGAAUUUCUGUUAACUUUUAGCACAUUAGAUGAAUGAUCUCCACAAUUCUGGGAUAAUUUUCUAUAUAGUUCAUCGUUUUACUAAUUGGUGCUCGAGAUUCUCAAGAAAAUUUAUAAAAUAGAAUUCAACAGUGUGCGUGUUGUAUCAAACUUUAGGAAUAAUGAUUCCUUUGUGGAAUCUAAUCUUAGCUAAUCCACCAUGAACCUCUGCCUCUCUGAUGCGACACUUCUACUGUGUGUUGGUGUCAUUCUUUUCAUGUUCUAAUUGAACCGAUCACAUUGUCUUGCCUGCUUUAAUACAGGAAUUGAUAAAAAAUGCUUGUUCAUGUUACCUAUUUCUACCUCGUCUCGAUCAGGAAGGAUAUUAGGUUGAUAAGAGUGUAGAAGAGCCAAAUACGAAUAGAUGUUUAAUCUUUAAGAGUCUCUCAACUUGUGGAUAAUUGUUGAAUCACACGAUACUGUAUUCUCUUAUGUAUUACUAAAACAGAGUAUGCCUAACUCACAAUAUUUAGGUUACCAUUCCUAGCGAUUCAUUUGAAGUCGCGUUCUUCUUUAUGUGCAUGUGCUAAAAACAUGAACACUAAGGAUUUUGUUGGGAUCACAUAUGUGACAACCAACAAAUUGGAUUCGAGACCCCCAAGUCUCACCUUUGCCAUAUGCGAUGAUGUCUGAAUAAAACUCACACUAUAGUUAUCUUUAACAGAAUAUCUGAUCAGAUCAUGAUGUUCCGAUUAGUAAUGUCGAUGAAUGUUAUUGGCAGAUUUUUAUUUGCUUUUUUACCUGAUGUUCAAUGUCAAAUAUGCAAUUCACUCAUCUAAACAGGUAGAAACUUUGGGAGAACAUGUUCUGUAGGCAACCAGCUAGUGAAUGCGAGGCUGAUGGCAAAAGUCUUACUUGCCAAAUAGAAGCUCAAACUUGCUAAGCUUCCAUGUUUCCGAUGCAAAUGAAUCUACGAAAAGGCAUGGCUUCAAGAAGUAUUGCCUUUUCCUAUUAUGUUCUUGAAGCGAACAAAAGGGGCAGCAGCUCAAGCAUCCGUUGGGUCUCUGAAAUGGAGAGGGACAAAAUGACAUGCACAUCGAUUACGUUUUAGGUCUUAUUCAAGUACAUUGAAUCGAGAAAGUAAGGAACACUACAUCAAACUUAAGCUUCUUCAUCUUGUACUAAUGGUUUGGAGUUUCCUCAGUGUAUCAACACUUCACUUCACAGUGGGCGUCGUUGCGAAGGACCCAGACCUGAUCUUUCUCCUUGAGCUCUGGAUAAACUCUGCGGCCUUGUUGUUGAUGGUCUUCGUCCUCGUCACCGCUGCAGUCGGUGGCGCUGGCUGCGGUUCAGCCACUGCUGCCGGUGGUGCUGGCUUGGGAACUGCUUUCUCUGGAGCUCUUGGCACUGUUGUACUCCCUGGUUUGUAGGUAGUGGCAAGGGGAGGAGGUGGAACUGGAAGAGGUAUAGGCUUAUCUGUCGUUGGAGGUGGUGGGUCAACCUUCUGAAGCUGUUCUUUUGCCGUUGCUGCUCGCAGAGGCUUUGCCGACGGAGGCAGGGCGAUGGCAUCGGGUUCUGGUAGUUUAGCUGGUUUUGGCUUCGUUGCAGUAGCAGGACUGUGAUCGGUCUUGAGGCCGUUCAUGCCAUAGUCGGAGUGGUCGGCGGUGGCGGGUUGCUUGUGGAAAGUUAGGCGACGGAGCGGCCGAAAUGCUGCAUUGAAGCUGAGGGCAUUGAAGAGCCUUUCGCACACGCCCAACGGCUUGGAGUCUGCUGCAUCCUUUGCCAUUGGAGAGUUGGUAUGCUGAAGACUGGAGAUUUUGGGUGAGCGAGCGAGUUUUAAUAGCCCUUGAUGACCCUUUUGAGAGAGAGAGAGAGAGAGAAUAUAGUAAUGCAUGGUGUGCCGGUGAGGUAUAUGCUGGAAGAGAGAGAGAGAGAGAGGGAUGGCGUAGAAACGAAGUGGGAACGAAAGCGUAUCGCUUUGCUUUCUUUUGUGAGAUGCCAAGAAAUUUUUGCUC
Non-coding RNA from Musa acuminata subsp. malaccensis (wild Malaysian banana), 2797 nucleotides. NCBI's taxonomy places the organism in Eukaryota, Viridiplantae, Streptophyta, Magnoliopsida, Zingiberales, Musaceae. The record is from RefSeq and is a predicted model, not a curated record.